This 225-nucleotide ribosomal RNA is filed under the name uncultured prokaryote. RNAcentral's name for it is "partial 16S ribosomal RNA". It matches the Rfam family "Bacterial small subunit ribosomal RNA", at positions 525 to 749 of the family's 1533-position model. The record is from RNAcentral.
ACGUAGGGUGCGAGCGUUAAUCGGAAUUGCUGGGCGUAAAGCGUGCGCAGGCGGUUCGCUGAGACAGGUGUGAAAUCCCCGGGCUUAACCUGGGAAUGGCGCUUGUGACUGGCGGGCUGGAGUACGGCAGAGGGGGGUGGAAUUUCAGGUGUAGCGGUGAAAUGCGUAGAGAUGUGGAGGAAUACCAGUGGCGAAGGCAGCCCCCUGGGCCGAUACUGACGCUCA